This 494-nucleotide ribosomal RNA is filed under the name uncultured bacterium. RNAcentral describes it as "partial 16S ribosomal RNA". It matches the Rfam family "Bacterial small subunit ribosomal RNA", at positions 28 to 507 of the family's 1533-position model. The record is from RNAcentral.
GACGAACGCUGGCGGCGCGCUUAACACAUGCAAGUCGAACGGAAAGGCCUGCUUUCCCUUGUGGAUUGCGGGUACUCGAGUGGCGAACGGGUGAGUAACACGUGAGUGAUCUGCCCCCAACUUGGGUAUAAGCCUGGGAAACUGGGUCUAAUUCCCGAUAGGACUGCAGGGUGGUGCCUGUGGUGGAAAACGAUUUUCUAGUGGUUGGGGAUGAGCUCGCGGCCUAUCAGCUUGUUGGUGGGGUAAUGGCCUACCAAGGCGGCGACGGGUAGCCGGCCUGAGAGGGUGGACGGCCACAUUGGGACUGGGAUACGGCCCAGACUCCUACGGGAGGCAGCAGUGGGGAAUAUGGCACAAUGGGCGGAAGCCUGAUGCAGCGACGCCGCGUGGGGGAUGACGGCCUUCGGGUUGUAAACUCCUUUCGACCGCGAGGAAGCCACCUGGUUGGAAGGGUGGCGACGGUAGUGGUAGAAGAAGCACCGGCUAACUACGUG